GGCUGUCGUCAGCUCGUGUCGUGAGAUGUUCGGUUAAGUCCGCUAACGAGCGCAACCCUCGCUGUGUGUUACAAGUGUCACACGGAACUGCCGGUCAUAAACCGGAGGAAGGUGGGGAUGACGUCAAGUCAGCAUGGCCUUUAUAUCCUGGGCUACACACACGCUACAAUGGGAAGGGACAAUAGGUUGCGAAGCCGCGAGGUGGAGCCAAUCCAGCAAAACUUCCCUCAGUUCAGAUUGCAGGCUGCAACUCGCCUGCAUGAAGUUGGAGUUGCUAGUAAACGCAGGUCAGCCAUACUGCGUUGAAUACGUUCCCGGGGCUU
This 323-nucleotide ribosomal RNA is filed under the name uncultured Anaerolineaceae bacterium. RNAcentral describes it as "bacterial SSU rRNA". It matches the Rfam family "Bacterial small subunit ribosomal RNA", at positions 1047 to 1382 of the family's 1533-position model. Lineage: Bacteria; Bacillati; Chloroflexota; Anaerolineae; Anaerolineales; Anaerolineaceae. The record is from RNAcentral.